GGCGGUAUGCCUGGCAUGCAAGUCGAACGAGAAAGUUCCUUCGGGAGCAAUUAGAGUGGCGCAGUGGUGAGUAACGCGUAGACAAUCUGCCCUUCAGUCUGGGACAACUUUUCGAAAGGAGAGCUAAUACCGGAUAACAAUGUUUAACAUAAGUUAAGUAUUUGAAAGCUUUAUGUGCUGAAGGAGGGGUCUGCGUCCCAUUAGCUAGUUGGUAAGGUAAAGGCUCACCAAGGCAACGAUGGGUAGCGGGUUUGAGAGGACGAUCCGCCACACUGGAACUGAGACACGGUCCAGACUCCUACGGGAGGCAGCAGUGGGGAAUAUUGCACAAUGGAGGAAACUCUGAUGCAGCAAUGUCGCGUGAGUGAAGAAGGCCCUUGGGUCGUAAAGCUCUUUUAUGGGGGAAGAUGAUGACGGUACCCCAAGAAUAAGCACCGGCUAACUAUGUGCCAGCAGCCGCGGUAAUACAUAGGGUGCGAGCGUUGUUCGGAAUUACUGGGCGUAAAGGGCGCGCAGGCGGAAUAGUAAGUCGGAGGUGAAAGCCCGGGGCUCAACCCCGGAGGGUCUUUCGAAACUACUAAUCUAGAGAGGGUCAGGGGCCGGCAGAAUUCCUGGUGUAGAGGUGAAAUUCGUAGAUAUCAGGAGGAAUACCGGUGGCGAAGGCGGCCGGCUGGGGCCACUCUGACGCUGAGGCGCGAAAGCGUGGGGAGCAAACAGGAUUAGAUACCCUGGUAGUCCACGCCGUAAACGAUGAGCACUGGACGUCCGGAGGGUUCGACCCUUCUGGGUGUCUCAGCUAACGCAUUAAGUGCUCCGCCUGGGGAGUACGGUCGCAAGACUAAACCUCAAAAUGAAAUGCG
Molecule: ribosomal RNA, 860 nt
Filed under: delta proteobacterium SCGC AAA240-M14
Lineage: Bacteria; Deltaproteobacteria
Description: SSU rRNA
Rfam family: Bacterial small subunit ribosomal RNA
Source: RNAcentral